GAUGAACGCUGGCGGCGUGCCUAAUACAUGCAAGUCGAGCGAACGGACGAGAAGCUUGCUUCUCUGAUGUUAGCGGCGGACGGGUGAGUAACACGUGGAUAACCUACCUAUAAGACUGGGAUAACUUCGGGAAACCGGAGCUAAUACCGGAUAAUAUUUUGAACCGCAUGGUUCAAAAGUGAAAGACGGUCUUGCUGUCACUUAUAGAUGGAUCCGCGCUGCAUUAGCUAGUUGGUAAGGUAACGGCUUACCAAGGCAACGAUGCAUAGCCGACCUGAGAGGGGGAUCGGCCACACUUGAACUGAGACACGGUCCAGACUCCUACGGGAGGCAGGAGUAGGGAAUCUUCCGCAAUGGGCGAAAGCCUGACGGAGCAACGCCGCGUGAGUGAUGAAGGUCUUCGGAUCGUAAAACGCUGUUAUUAGGGAAGAACAUAUGUGUAAGUAACUGUGCACAUCUUGACGGUACCUAAGCAGAAAGCCACGGCUAACUACGU
Molecule: ribosomal RNA, 496 nt
Filed under: uncultured bacterium
Lineage: Bacteria
Description: partial 16S ribosomal RNA
Rfam family: Bacterial small subunit ribosomal RNA
Source: RNAcentral